UCAAACUUGGUCAUUUAGAGGAAGUAAAAGUCGUAACAAGGUUUCCGUAGGUGAACCUGCGGAAGGAUCAUUAGUGAAAGCAAUCGGGCGUUGAGCCCGACCGUUCACACACACACCCUGUGCACUGUCGAUCGGACGGACCGCUCGUCGGGACGGUCGAGGGCGCUGCGAAUCGAAUCGCUUCGUUGCCCGAAUCAAACCAUCAGCGCCAAGUUUAUGGGAUGUCGAGUCGAACGAAAAGAAAAAGGAAACAACUUUCAGCAAUGGAUCUCUAGGCUCUCGCAUCGAUGAAGAACGCAGC
RNAcentral lists this unclassified non-coding RNA (301 nucleotides) under uncultured fungus. RNAcentral's name for it is "partial contains small subunit ribosomal RNA, internal transcribed spacer 1, and 5.8S ribosomal RNA". The stretch from base 1 to 73 matches the Rfam family "Eukaryotic small subunit ribosomal RNA", at positions 1759 to 1831 of the family's 1831-position model. Lineage: Eukaryota; Fungi. The record is from RNAcentral.